This 207-nucleotide ribosomal RNA is filed under the name uncultured bacterium. RNAcentral describes it as "partial 16S ribosomal RNA". It matches the Rfam family "Bacterial small subunit ribosomal RNA", at positions 568 to 774 of the family's 1533-position model. The record is from RNAcentral.
CACGCAGGCGGCUUUUUAAGUCGGAUGUGAAAGCCCCGGGCUCAACCUGGGAAUUGCAUCUGAUACUGGGAAGCUAGAGUAUGUGAGAGGGGGGUAGAAUUCCAAGUGUAGCGGUGAAAUGCGUAGAGAUUUGGAGGAAUACCAGUGGCGAAGGCGGCCCCCUGGCACAAUACUGACGCUCAGGUGCGAAAGCGUGGGGAGCAAACA